CUGAAGUCAACAAUGCUGAUAUUUGUGUGUGCAGCUGAGAAACGUUUGACUGACUUUGAGUGUGCAGUGGAAGAAGAUCAGCUGAUGUUUCCUUUGGUCUUGAAGUCCUCCACAAACAAACAUGUCACUUUACUGCUUUCUGCUCUUUUCUCACUUUAUAGGUGGAGCAGCCGGAGACAAAAUCUCUCCUGAAGCAGCUGAAGUCAGUGGAAGAGAAGAAGAAUCUGUCAGACUCAAAUGUGUCUACGAGACAGACAGCGAGCACGUUGGUCUCCACUGGUACGAGCAUCAUUCUAACCAGGCGCCUCAGUUUAUCCUCUGGAAAGGAGCGAGGUCACGGAGCCACGGUCAAUACAUUCCUGAUCAUCGAUAUCGAUCCCAAACAUGGAGGACUUCAGCUGAAGUGACCAUCAGAGAUGUAACGGGGGCAGACUCAGCGCUCUACUACUGUGCUCUGGAAACACAGUGAGACAAAGUGUUGAAGAGGUCAUACAAAAAGCUCCACACCGAUACGUGACGACUCUCCAAAGAGCAGGAAGUGGUUUUCAAAGUGCAGGAUUCUGCACCUUCCUGAUUCCAGUCACCGUGGUUACACCUGAUCACCAAACACUGUGGGAGGGGCAUGAAGGGAUGAAAGGAGGAGCCAAAGUGUCAGCCAAGAAAAGACUCAAACUGCACGAGUGCUGUUUCACACCAAAGAGGACUUUGUCUUGAAGAUGAUGUCAGUGCACUUCACUUUGUUUCUGAUCACACUGACAGGUAGGUGACAU
This is a non-coding RNA of Thalassophryne amazonica, 770 nucleotides long. Lineage: Eukaryota; Metazoa; Chordata; Actinopteri; Batrachoidiformes; Batrachoididae. The record is from the annotation of a RefSeq genome assembly.